Molecule: ribosomal RNA, 435 nt
Filed under: uncultured Eustigmatophyceae
Lineage: Eukaryota; Eustigmatophyceae
Description: bacterial SSU rRNA
Rfam family: Bacterial small subunit ribosomal RNA
Source: RNAcentral
GGCAGCAGUGGGGAAUUUUCUGCAAUGGGCGAAAGCCUGACAGAGCAAUACCGCGUGAGGGAUGAAGACUUACUGAGUUGUAAACCUCGGUACCUUAAGGAAGAAGAUCUGACGGUACUUAAGGUGGAAAGCAUCGGCUAACUCCGUGCCAGCAGCCGCGGUAAGACGGGGGAUGCAAGUGUUAUCCGGAUUUACUGGGCGUAAAGCGUCUGCAGGUGGUUUCUUAAGUCUACUGUUAAAUCUUGAGGCUCAACCUCAAAUCUGCAGUAGAAACUAGGAGACUUGAGUAUAGUAGGGGUAGAGGGAAUUUCCAGUGGAGCGGUGAAAUGCGUAGAUAUUGGAAAGAACACCGAUGGCGAAGGCACUCUACUGGGCUAUUACUGACACUCAGAGACGAAAGCUAGGGGAGCAAAUGGGAUUAGAUACCCCWGUAGU